Molecule: non-coding RNA, 175 nt
Filed under: pig gut metagenome
Description: malK-I RNA
Rfam family: malK-I RNA
Source: RNAcentral
GUGUACCAAUCCACACUUAUGGUGCCCUGCGGUCAAAAAAAAGGAGGAUAAAACCAGUCCGGGUGACUCCCGGUGCGGCAUUGUGGAGACAUGUCGCAAUGCGUCCGCCAAGCCCGGCGGUCGUGAGAAUGCGCAUUGCGGAGGCAGCGCAGUCAGAGUCGGAAACACUAUGGCA